Molecule: RNA transcript, 3285 nt
Organism: Liolophura sinensis
Lineage: Eukaryota; Metazoa; Mollusca; Polyplacophora; Chitonida; Chitonidae
Gene name: zinc finger protein 883-like
Exons: 4
Source: RefSeq, a predicted model, not a curated record
CUUCCUGGUUUAAGAUCAGCCUUUUCUCAUGGUCGCGAAUGUAUUGCACUCGAGCAAAAAAGUAUUCGCGGUUUUCGGUUAAAUUGAGUGGAUGGGCAUAAAAAGAGCAAGCUGAAAACCAGUGUUUUGGGAGAUAAGAUGAGUUCAGUGAUAUGCAAAUGAGAAGAUACCAGAUGAAGAGAUGGAGACAGAAGGUGCUCCCCUGACAAAUACGACAGGUCUCUGGCCCAUAAAGGUGGAAACUCACGAUGCUACAGAUGAACCUCAGGUGUGGUAUGUCGUCAAGCGAGAAGAUGACCAUGAGUCUGAGGAAGGAUUGCGCUCUGCAGAUAGCCUUCAAGAUAACACUCUGUCACAGGGUAUGCCAGAUGAUGGAACUCUCCCAAAACAUGACUGGAAAACUGAAGAAAAAUAUACACCACAUCAGCAGCCAUCAUCAGCAGUAUGUAGGACCACGGUGGGUACGAAGACUAUGUAUGAUUCUGUAGUGGGUUCUUUGAGGCCAAGUACAGAGCCUGUGAGGAAGUCAGAAAGGGAGAUUAUUCCUAACAACGGCCAGUUGUCGCAAAAUGUGAAGACAGAACCUAUCGAAGCAGACGUGCUAGAAUGUGGGACAGGCACUUGUCCACAAACGGUUGAGUCUGAUGUCGCAAUCUCUGAGACACAUACAGCAGAAAUGGCCUCAGCCAUGCUUCAGUUUGGGUCAAGCACAGCUCAUAUAGACUCAUCCACGCCAGACGCCUGGCACAUAGAGGAAAAUCCUUUAUUGUGCGAAAUCUGCGGGAUUUGUUUGAAAUACCCGAGCAAGUUGAGGAGGCACAUGCGAAUACAUACAGGGGAAAGGCCCCACACCUGCGAUAUGUGCGGUAAAAGCUUCACGGAGGCCUUCGCAUUGAAGAACCACAGGUACAAUCACCUGGACGUGAAGCCGUACAUCUGCGAGGUGUGCGGAAAGAGCUUCUCAUCCUCAUCACACUCAAACUACCACUUGAUUCACGUCGAAGGCAGAGGGGAAGCUGACAUGCUAGAAUGUGGGACAGGCACUUUUCCAGAAACAAUUGAGCCUGAUGUCACAAACUUUGAGACACAUACAGCAGAAAGGGCCUCAGCCAUGCCACAGUUUGGGUCAAGCACAACUCAUAUAGACUCCUCCACGCCAGACGCGUGGCACAUAGAGGAAAAUCCUUUAUUGUGCGAAAUCUGCGGGAUUUGUUUGAAAUACCCUAGCAAGUUGAGGAGGCACAUGCGAAUACAUACAGGGGAAAGACCCCACACCUGCGAUAUAUGCGAUAAAAGCUUCACGGAGGCCUUCGCAUUAAAGAACCACAGGUACAGUCACCUGGACGUGAAGCCGUACAUCUGCGAGGUGUGCGGAAAGAGGUUCUCAUCCUCAUCACACUUAAACUACCAUUUGAUCCACGUCGAAGGCAAGGGCUUCUCGUGCAACGUUUGUGGGAAGAGCUUCAAGCUGAUGUUAACCCUGAAGAGACACAGAGCGAUCCACACUGGCGUGAAACCACACGUCUGCAAAGUGUGCAGCAAGAGUUUCACGCAAAUUUCUCAGUUGAAAAGCCACAUCAGGAUUCACACGCGCGAGAUAUCUUAUUCCUGCGAGAUCUGCUGUCAGACUUUCACGAAUUCCUACUCGCUGAAUAAUCACGGGAGGACACACAAGAGACAAAAGCGACAAGAAGAAGAGGUAAGGCAGCUGGAGGAGACCGGGCAACAAAUAAACGCCGAGCAACAAACGGCAGAAGUAUCCGAUGUGACGGAUAAAGCAGCGUCACAUUCGAACCGUGUGCGCGGGAAAUGUCAAACAAUUCUGAGUUUGCUUCGGAGUGACUCUGCAUCCAAUCUGAGUCAAAAAGGCAAGGUUUUCUCUUUGGAACGGUAGUGGUGUGGAACAGUAGCAUUGAAAUAUGUAAACAGUGUGGGUUUGACAUGACAUUGGAGUUUGGCCCCACUACAGAGAUGCAAAGCUUGCACGAGCCUUGGCAGUUUAGAAGUUGGGCUUCAAAACAUGGCGAACGUUGGUUGGACUUGCUCGAUUCAGACGUUUAAAUGUCCGAAUUACAUUAAAUGAUGGCUUACGGAUGCUGGCUGUGACCUUAUGUUCUUCUGAUGACUUAGGAAAUCUGUGGAUACCAAAUGUAAGAACGGGUUCGAUGCUGUUAUUUUGGGUCAUUUUGUUCGCGUGGGCCUAGAUUGCACGCGAAUGUGCGGAGAAGUAAUCAGUAAGCUGACCAUUGCGUCUUUUCUGUCCAUGUAUUCAAGUCCAAAACAUCGGAACAUUACGCACUCGUCCAUUCUGAUGAAAACUCUGUUAAGAAGAUCCUUCUGUUAAAAGUUGGCAGGAAGGUCAUUAUGUAUGGAGCAGGGAAGUUCGUAAUUUCUCCAUGCCCUCGAGAUCAUGACAAAGCCAAGAUUACAGCCAAGGAUUUCUUGCCAAGAGAUUCUCUUUGGACGCAUGCCACAAAGUGCACUGCCAAACCUACCCCGAAACAGUCCGAGAGCAGUUUCGUACGGAGUGGUCUAAUGCUUCUGUCUCGGUUCGCUCAUAAUCCUUUGGAAGGUGAUGAGCCGCUAGAAUACGUACUUUCCGGAAUGAAAGAAACCAUCGGUAAUCCUGGAGUGUAAGACAUUUGUGAGAAAGACAGUUUAAUUAAAGGGUUUAGAUAUUGUUUGCGGGCAGAAUUGGAGAGGAAUCGUAACAAAGGAAGAAAGACUUGGAAAACUUAAGAAGAAAACUAAGGACUGUUUCGAGAUUGCUGAAGAAAGUAAACAAAGGUAAUCCUCAGCCCAAACCCCUAAGCUUUUUCAUAUCGGGUUCCGGAUUUAAUUCGGUGACGAAGGCUGUAAAUGACUUAGAAUGUGAACCCGAUUUCCCUCGCUUAGCCCAAGUACUAGGGAAUUACGUGAAACAAAUUUGUCUGGUGAAAUAAAUCUGCCCAACCCAACAAAUAAUGCAGCAAUAAGGCGUGAAGGCCGCGACUUUAAGGGUCUCUAUGAAGUAUUGUGGAACAGUGAAGUAGCAAGCAUGGCCAACAGACGACAAAAACUUAGGAGAAUGAACAAAAAAGAAACGAAUGCACACAUAACAGAAGAUCUAGUUUAGUCAGACUAAAGGAUUCCCUGGUGGACUCCAAUUACUGAAGGUGUUAAAUUAACCACAGCCUAGCCUUGAUUACUAGAAAAGGGUUGAACAAAGCAUAGUGUUAGGAAUCGUGGCAUUUAAUCAGGGAAGAUUACUCGAAGUGGUUGACAUGACAGUGACUGACUACACAA